Molecule: unclassified non-coding RNA, 1262 nt
Filed under: Daphnia magna
Lineage: Eukaryota; Metazoa; Arthropoda; Branchiopoda; Diplostraca; Daphniidae
Description: uncharacterized LOC123475917, transcript variant X3
Source: RNAcentral
CCAGCUCCGGAAGCAUUUGACGGCUGAGGACCACUGGAGGACUGGUUUUACGUUUUGAAACGCAAAGAUAUUCGUAUUUCUUAUUUAUUUAGUUCCGUUCAGUGCACUUUAGUGAUUGAAUUGAUGAAUUGAAAAGAAACAAAGAUGAAAAUUAUGUUUCUACUGAUUCAUAAACAAGAAAACUUGUUAACAAUGAGUGCAGAUAACUUUUCUACAACAACGGAAUGAAAAAAUGUUUCAGCUGUGUGAAUCAAGGUCUGGACUUAGAGGAUCAUCACACGAGUUAAACAAGGAAUUUCUUCUGGUUGGACAUUUAACAAGUUUCUCAGUUUUCAGUACAAUGUAGCCAGCAAUGUAUGCUAGGCAUUGGUUGGUGAAGUGGUCUUUCAACUGACUAGCAUGGAAUUCCUCAUCAGAACAUAUUACUUCAAUAUCCAUCAUGAUAUCCUGAUCAACUGUGAGUUCGUUAACAUCAGAUACAUUAUCUACUGGCAUAAGGGAACAGUUGGAUGACAGUGAAGGGAGCAUUUGGAUUAUUAUUCAAUCCACAACGAAGUCGAAUGAUCCCAAAAAAGUGUUCCAAUGGGUCCUGCUGCAUGUGCCUAGUGGCUACAUAACUCAAUGGGUUGUUCUGCCGAUGAAGAAGCUGGUGGGCUAGAGUUAUAGUUGAUCGUAUCGUUGCGAUAAAUCCAAUAAUACAGGUUUUCCUUCUACUUGUGUAGACUAAUCUGCCACUUGGAAGUUUUAGUUUAGCUAAAAAGAGCGCUAACUCAUUAAGCUCUUUAGUCUUCUCCUCUAGGUUUUCUUUGGUAAGAACCGCUUUGUCACCAUUUGCUUGAACAUUCCAUGAGUUCAGGAUAUCGAAAAGCUUAUUGAAUUGCCGACAGAACUGUUCGGUGGCCUCACUUCCUUGAAACUAUGUUACCUGAGGAACUUUUAGUACUUCUCGUAAAUGUCGGAGCACAUCUGCCACGGAUCUACUCAAAACUUGAGCAGCGAGAGCCACCUUCAUCUUAUGUCGCUCGAAGUAUGCGUGUUGUCUUGUAAGUCGAUUACCGAGACGAAAUCCAGCCUCAUUUUGGAAUUGAAAGAGAGCCUUGAUGUACUUCCACUGUGCUGGAUCUUGAUAUCCAGGUAACUUCACCGGUGAAAAAGACAGUAGAUUCCUUGCCAACUUCAGCAUGUGGCACGCAUCAAGUAAAACAUUUACUGGUUCUCCGGUAGAAGGAUGCACGAAGUUUGGUUUAAACGGGCAAGUCAAU